RNAcentral lists this long non-coding RNA (616 nucleotides) under Nicotiana benthamiana. Its description in RNAcentral is "long non-coding RNA (NBEN_LNC041865)". Lineage: Eukaryota; Viridiplantae; Streptophyta; Magnoliopsida; Solanales; Solanaceae. The record is from RNAcentral.
GCCUCGUCGCUUUUUUGCGCUUAACACAUUCCAAAACACUGCCCUAGCAUGCCAUAAAGAUUAAAUGGAAAAACAUGGGCGAAGAAGAAGAGGAGGAAAACUCACAAGAAACAACGAUCCAAACGGGAAAAUUUACAAAAUUGCAUAGAUAAAAUCAACAAAGCUUUUCUGCUAAUGGUGAUACUGAAUUUGCAAUAAACUGGCUAUUAACUUUUUGAUACAAACAACCUGUAUCUACCAAGUAUCUCAAACAGCUAUCUGCCUAGUACCGAUAAGAACAAGAAAGAGUAAGCAGAGAGCAACGAAAGAAGAGCCUAUAGAGUGCCCGACUGGAUCUUUGUUUUCGUGUAAGCUUUCUUUUUCUCAUAGUGUAUUUCUUUUUUUCAUCAUUUAUGACAUGCUAAGGCUUUGUUCUUUAUGUGUUUCAGUAAAUUCUUGAAUGAAUCAGUUGGCUUGAGGUUUGGCAUAGUCCUAGGAAUUACUCUAACGUUGCUACAGAGGUAUUUUUUUACCAAUUACAUGCAUGCUUAUUGUUCAUUUAAUAGCGAUUCUCGUUGAAACAAACUUUUUGCACAUUUACACGCAGUUGCUGCCCGAUUGAUGGUAUCAAUGAUCU